RNAcentral lists this ribosomal RNA (1902 nucleotides) under Triticum aestivum (bread wheat). Its description in RNAcentral is "partial small subunit ribosomal RNA". The record is from RNAcentral. Lineage: Eukaryota; Viridiplantae; Streptophyta; Magnoliopsida; Poales; Poaceae.
AUGGCGAUGGCCGCCGCCGGGCGGUGCCUCCUCCUCUCCCGCCCCUCCCCUCUCCGCCUCCGCGUGCUCCGCGCCGCCCUCUCCACCGCAGUCCCCCCUUCCUCCCCCGCCCUCGCCGCCCCCGCGCCCCCUCCCCGCCACGAGCUCCUCCUCGAGCGCCUCCGCCUCCGCCACCUCAAGGACUCGUCGUCCCCCGGCCCCCCGAAGCCGCUGAGGGAGAGGGCCAGGAGCGGGGAGAGGGGCUCACCGCAGCAGCAGCAGAGGAGUGUUGAGGUGGAGAGCUUCGAGGAGCUCGGGCUAGAGGAGGAGGUCCUGGCCGCGAUGCGGGAGGCUGGCAUCACGAAGCCGACCGAGAUCCAGUGCGUCGGCGUGCCCGCCGUGCUCUCCGGCACCAGUGUUGUGCUUGGCUCGCACACCGGCUCCGGGAAGACGCUCGCCUACUUGCUCCCUCUCGUCCAGCUACUGCGUCAUGAUGAAGUGACGCUGGGUAUGUCAAUGAAGCCAAGGCGGCCAAGAGCUGUAGUUUUAUGCCCAACAAGGGAGCUGACUGAGCAGGUCUUCCGUGUUGCAAAGUCUAUAAGCCAUCAUGCACGUUUUCGGUCAACGAUGGUUAGUGGAGGCACUCGUCUAAAACCCCAGGAAGAUUCUUUGAACAUGCCUGUUGACAUGGUUGUUGGGACACCUGGAAGGAUCCUUGAUCAUAUAAAGGAGGGCAAUAUCGUUUACGGCGACAUUAAAUAUCUGGUUCUGGAUGAGGCAGACACAAUGUUUGACCAAGGCUUUGGAGAAGACAUACGAAAGUUUCUUGCUCCUUUGAAGAAUCGUGCUUCAAAGCCUGGUGAUCAAGGAUUCCAAACCAUAUUGGUGUCUGCUACCAUGACCAAGGGAGUACAAAAGUUGAUCGAUGAGGAAUUUGAAGGUAUUGAGCAUUUACGGACAUCAACCUUUCAAAAGAGAAUUGCAACUGCACGGCAUGACUUCAUCAAACUUUCUGGUUCGGAGAACAAACUCGAGGCUCUCCUGCAGGUUCUUGAGCCAAGCUUAGCAAAAGGAAACAAAGUUAUGGUGUUUUGCAACACUUUGAAUUCAAGUCGUGCAGUGGACCAUUUUCUAACAGAAAAUCAUAUAUCUACUGUUAACUACCAUGGAGAAGUCCCUGCGGAGGAGAGAGUUGAGAACCUAAACAAGUUCCGGAAUGAAGAGGGGGAUUGCCCAACAUUAGUCUGCACUGAUCUGGCAGCUAGAGGACUAGACUUGGAGGUUGACCAUGUCAUCAUGUUUGACUUCCCAAAAAACUCUAUUGAUUAUCUCCACAGAACAGGGAGAACGGCGCGUAUGGGAGCCAAAGGGAAAGUUACAAGCCUUAUCGCAAAGAAAGAUGUGGGUUUAGCGACAAGGAUCGAAGACGCCAUGAAGAAAAACGAGAGCUUAGAAUCGCUGACGACUAGCAAUGUCAGGAGGGAUUCCGCUAACUCUCAAAACCCAAGCACCAAAGGAAGGACUUCUGCAAGGUCGGCAAGGAGUUCAGAUGCUCCGAGGGUUGCUAGCCAGAAGGGUAACAAAAGGGGAGUCACACUGUCGAGAAGGCCGCCAAAGGUCGCCAUCAAGGACACAACUUCAACCAGAAAGCGGUCGUCGACCAAGAGCCAGCCAUCUUCGUCCAGGAAGCACUCACCGUCUAAGAACCCGCCGAAGGCCAGGCCGGCAGAGGCCAGAAAGGCCAAGCCGGUGAGGGCUGGUAGCAGCAAGGGCGGCGAGAAGGUCGGGAAGAGCAGCAGAACCAGGCCGGAAGGCGGGAAGGGGGAUGCUCUGAAUAAGGUGGGAAGUAAGUUGAGCGUGGUUGGAUUCAGAGGGCGCAGCACCGCGAAGUCGGCGCAGGCUUACCACGGUAAUCGCUCCUGA